UACGUAGGGUGCAAGCGUUAAUCGGAAUUACUGGGCGUAAAGCGUGCGCAGGCGGUGAUGUAAGACAGAUGUGAAAUCCCCCGGGCUCAACCUGGGAACUGCAUUUGUGACUGCAUCGCUGGAGUACGGCAGAGGGGGAUGGAAUUCCGCGUGUAGCAGUGAAAUGCGUAGAUAUGCGGAGGAACACCGAUGGCGAAGGCAAUCCCCUGGGCCUGUACUGACGCUCCAUGCACGAAAGCGUGGGGAGCAAACAGG
This 255-nucleotide ribosomal RNA is filed under the name uncultured bacterium. Its description in RNAcentral is "partial 16S ribosomal RNA". It matches the Rfam family "Bacterial small subunit ribosomal RNA", at positions 524 to 776 of the family's 1533-position model. The record is from RNAcentral.